This 253-nucleotide ribosomal RNA is filed under the name uncultured bacterium. Its description in RNAcentral is "partial 16S ribosomal RNA". It matches the Rfam family "Bacterial small subunit ribosomal RNA", at positions 524 to 776 of the family's 1533-position model. The record is from RNAcentral.
CACGUAGGGCGCAAGCGUUAUCCGGAAUUAUUGGGCGUAAAGAGCUCGUAGGCGGUUUGUCGCGUCUGCUGUGAAAUCCGGAGGCUCAACCUCCGGCCUGCAGUGGGUACGGGCAGACUAGAGUGCGGUAGGGGAGAUUGGAAUUCCUGGUUUAGCGGUGGAAUGCGCAGAUAUCAGGAGGAACACCGAUGGCGAAGGCAGAUCUCUGGGCCGUAACUGACGCUGAGGAGCGAAAGGGUGGGGAGCAAACAGG